Molecule: ribosomal RNA, 386 nt
Filed under: uncultured bacterium
Lineage: Bacteria
Description: bacterial SSU rRNA
Rfam family: Bacterial small subunit ribosomal RNA
Source: RNAcentral
GACGAACGCUGGCGGCGUGCUUAACACAUGCAAGUCGAGCGGUAAGGCCCUUUCGGGGUACGACGAGCGGCGAACGGGUGAGUAACACGUGGGUGACCUGCCCUCAGCUCUGGGAUAAGCCUGGGAAACCGGGUCUAAUACUGGAUAUGACUCCAUGACGCAUGUUGUGGGGUGGAAAGCCUUGUGCGGCUGAGGAUGGGCCCGCGGCCUAUCAGCUUGUUGGUGGGGUGAGGCCUACCAAGGCGACGACGGGUAGCCGGCCUGAGAGGGCGACUGGCCACACUGGGACUGAGACACGGCCCAGACUCCUACGGGAGGCAGCAGUGGGGAAUCUUGCGCAAUGGGCGAAAGCCUGACGCAGCGACGCCGCGUGAGGGAUGACGGCC